This 253-nucleotide ribosomal RNA is filed under the name uncultured bacterium. RNAcentral's name for it is "partial 16S ribosomal RNA". It matches the Rfam family "Bacterial small subunit ribosomal RNA", at positions 524 to 776 of the family's 1533-position model. The record is from RNAcentral.
UACGUAGGUGGCAAGCGUUGUCCGGAUUUAUUGGGUUUAAAGGGUGCGUAGGCGGCUUGAUAAGUCAGUGGUGAAAGCCGAUCGCUCAACGAUCGAACUGCCAUUGAUACUACCAGGCUUGAGUAUAGAUGAGGUAGGCGGAAUUGACAGUGUAGCGGUGAGAUGCAUAGAUAUUGUCAAGAACACCAAUUGCGAAGGCAGCUUACUAAGUUAUAACUGACGCUGAGGCACGAAAGUGCGGGGAUCAAACAGG